AUUGAACGCUGGCGGCAGGCCUAACACAUGCAAGUCGAACGGUAACAGGAAGAAGCUUGCUUCUUUGCUGACGAGUGGCGGACGGGUGAGUAAUGUCUGGGAAACUGCCUGAUGGAGGGGGAUAACUACUGGAAACGGUAGCUAAUACCGCAUAACGUCGCAAGACCAAAGAGGGGGACCUUCGGGCCUCUUGCCAUCGGAUGUGCCCAGAUGGGAUUAGCUAGUAGGUGGGGUAACGGCUCACCUAGGCGACGAUCCCUAGCUGGUCUGAGAGGAUGACCAGCCACACUGGAACUGAGACACGGUCCAGACUCCUACGGGAGGCAGCAGUGGGGAAUAUUACACAAUGGGCGCAAGCCUGAUGCAGCCAUGCCGCGUGUAUGAAGAAGGCCUUCGGGUUGUAAAGUACUUUCAGCGGGGAGGAAGGGAGUAAAGUUAAUACCUUUGCUCAUUGACGUUACCCACAGAAGAAGCACCGGCUAACUCCGUG
RNAcentral lists this ribosomal RNA (490 nucleotides) under uncultured bacterium. RNAcentral describes it as "partial 16S ribosomal RNA". It matches the Rfam family "Bacterial small subunit ribosomal RNA", at positions 30 to 507 of the family's 1533-position model. The record is from RNAcentral.